Dunckerocampus dactyliophorus (ringed pipefish) is the source of this 7421-nucleotide long non-coding RNA. RefSeq lists it as uncharacterized. NCBI's taxonomy places the organism in Eukaryota, Metazoa, Chordata, Actinopteri, Syngnathiformes, Syngnathidae. The record is from RefSeq and is a predicted model, not a curated record. The transcript has 3 exons.
UAAAAAAGAUACUUUAUGAAUCCCCAAGAGAAAUUCACAUGUCUGGUGGCUCUGCAAAAAAGUCCAAAUAAACGCUUAAAAAUACACCUAUGAAGGGCAAUAACAUACUGUAGCUGUCUUGGUUUUAGGUUUUAGCUUGAAAAAUGACAAAUCUGGUCUUUUGGACCGUCUAUUAGAGCAAUUAAUGGCUGAGCAGUGUCCCGAGGACAUGCUGACGAUGCAAUGUUUCUGCAUUCUGCUCACCAUCAUGGCGGCCAUGGCAGCUUGAUGAAUUUCACAUUAUUAUGCCAAUGUAGGGAAAAAAACCAUCCAGAUGUUGGCAGAUACGGUAUAUCGCCAAUAUCAGCCAGGUGGCUGAUAUAAUCGGACAAUCCUACUUCAAGCAGAUAGAAUAUCGGACAAUCCUACCUAAUACAGGAAAGUAUUUUAUCCUUUCAACCUUCCAUCCACACGGGAACGGCUUACUGGGCGACCGCCCAGUCACAAUCACGUGACCAGAAGUGAGUGUUCCUACAGUAUGUGGACAGGGUCUAAGUCAGCCCUCACCUGGCAGGAGUCCACCUUGCCCUGCAGGAACCCUGCACACAUCAUGUUGGCUGUGAUCGCUCCCCUGUACACAGGUAACUUAUUGCACACCUUGGAGUCGAUGAUUUUAACCACAGCUUUUUGCAGCGUGGGAGGCACGUCGCCUAAAAUGGAGAUGAUUGGAUUCAUUUAGGAUUAACACAGUAUCUCACACUUGUACCUCACAUUUCAGCAUCUUCUCAAGAGAAAACACCAGAGAAAUGAAACUUGGAUGUACUCUGAGCAGUCAGUGUGCAGUGCAGUAAUCCCUUGCCACUCAGCGCUUCAUAAAUCAUGCUGUUUUGUGGUUGAAUGCAGCCUAUUAUGAGUCAAAACAUAUGCAUUUUUAAGCACAUUUUAUGUAUCUUUGGCUUGAAUUAAGCAUAAAAACGGCAAAAUGAAGUAAAAUACAAUUUAAGAACGUGCGAUGAUAUGUAAUAUUCCACACUGGUCACUAGGUGUCAGCAAUGUUACACUGAUGACAGGAAGUACUGUACACAACAGGAAGCAAAAAAGAACACGAAGGAACUCUCCCAAUGCUAACAUGUGAGUAUUUAUGUCUUAUUUUCUCUUAUUAUGUCUACUGUAUUGGGGAAUAGGAGUGUAAAGGUGACCAUGGGGGUGUUAUUUCAUGUCAAGAGGGCUCUAAUAAUGUUAAAAAUCAUAUUUAGAAGGUCGUGAACAGGUUUUCUAUGCUCUAAAUAGGGAAAUAUUCUACUUCUAUUAAAUACGGACUCCUACUUGGCGGAAAUUGGCUUACCACGGUCGGGUCUGGAACCAAUGAGCUUCCUUCAUAGAUUUACUAUGCACUGAAAAUGGGUCAACACAGCCAUUAUUGUCUUAAUACGUAGCUGGCAACACAAGUGAGUAGCAAGAUAAUUGUGUCAUGGUCUGGGCCUGCACGAGUGCUGCCAGCACAAGGCUGCUGCGGUUCAUGGAGAAAACCGUGGAUUCCAACAUGUACGGCGACAUUCUGAAGCACAGCAUGAUCCCCUCCCUUUGGAAAAUGGGGUUUCCAACAUGAUAAAGACCCCAAAAACAUCUCCCCCACAAAAUAUUGACACCGAGUACUCGAACAGUAGAUCACAUCCAAGUUUCAUUUUCUUCGUGUUUCGGGGGUACACCCCUGCCGCAGGACUCACUGCUGAACAUGUGCAGAGAGCCCCAUCCUGACACCACGCAUCUCUGUCCAGGACUGAAGACGUGAGACGGGGAGGGCAGACAGGCAGGUUGGACAUAUGGACUGAAGGUGAGGGGGGUCUCCAGCUCCAGCACAGCCACGUCAAUGUCAGUGGUCAUGGGGUUGUAGUCUGGAGACACUCUCAGUGUCUUGAUGUUGAUUAUUUUGGUCUGGGACUCCUCGCCGCUCACCAGACUGGCACCCACCAGGGCCGUCCACUCUUUGGGGUUUUUGUCCCUGACGAAUGUACGGAAUGUCUCAUACACUUCAGAGUUGAUGCAUCUCAUGGACACAAGUACUGAGACACACAUCUUAAUUGAUUAGUCAAUCGAUUAGGUCAAUUAGCCUGGGCUGGUGAAAGGUGCAAAUGUCCACUUGAAACUGCAACCACAUUUUUGGGACCUUCAACACGGGUUCCGAACAUGACAACCCCAAAACCUACUCAGUAGCGCCCCAGGGAAUCCACGUAAACACAUAUGGCAUUUGGUGGACAUGUGCAUCAUGAUAGGGCGCACUAAAGAGGAUCAAGAACCCAUGCCUGGAAUCCAACAGGAAGGCGGCCAUUUUGGUUUAAAGUGGCCCUUUUAGGUGAAGUCCAGGGUUCAUAUACUUUGACGACCUCCUCCUAGGGAAUUUGCCCGCGUGAGCCCGAAUUGGAGUGGAGGAUUGCUGACAGAUGGGUGAUGACAAACUGUGAAGGGUUUCAGCGUGUGCCAUAGGAUGUGGGCGGAGCAUGGCGGCAGACUACACAACUGGAACCAGGAAUUUAGCUCUACAAGGUCUGAUGUUAAAUGUUGGAAUUCCGCUCAAGAUACUCAGAUUACUUUCAUACUGGAGAUACUCCCGUCCAGGCCUGCGUCCAGUUUGCCCUCCGACUUUUGUGAAAAACUUGAGUUGCGUGGGUGUGCGGGGGGCCGUUUAACACUACCAAGGCAUUCUAUGCUUCCAUGUCCAAAAAGGCAAACUUGAAUAAACCAGCUCUUCCAUGUUUACUUCCUGUUGUCUACUAGCCUGGUGUCCCAGUAUCUUUGUCCAUGCUGCCUUUUAAGUUCCUGUACACAUUUGUUCCUACCUACCUCUCAAAGCAGUGUGCUGCACUGACCAGCCACCUUUCGCUGAUGAUGGAGGCUCCACACGUGUGUUGACCGUGUAGCCUCAGACUGACCUGCCAUGGCAGCUCCCCUUGUCGAGCGUCUUCGCCGCCCACGAUGCGAUUCCCGGCGGCGCUACGCAGACCACACGCUACAGGGGAAGAACUAGAAUAGAUGAGCGGUGCUCGCCACCUUUACGCGUCACUAACAUGAAUAAGAAGAAGGAAAGCAGGUUUACCACAGCGAGCUUCGUCGGAUCCGUCAGCACAGUCUGGUACGAAGUCACACUCUGGGUUGACUUUAGUCACACACUCACCGUUGUCACAGCUGAAGGCGCUGUCGGGACAACUGGCUAGAGGUGCGUAUAAGGGUGGAAUAAAUGAAUAACAAUCAAUUAAAAUACAAGAAUAGGAUUAUGAGAAAUGAUAUGUCCCAUAAGUUUGAUCAAAUAUUAAUGAAGUCAUUUUGGACAAUUGGAUGCUUCCAACUUUUAUGUAAUGGAAGACGAACGUGAGAGCCCAGACCUCAACCUCCAUCAAAUUGAAUGAAUAAAAUUCCAUUGAAUACAAUAAAAUGGAAAUGUAUUUAUGUGGAUUAAAAUAGAAGGCUAAAAUCUAAAAAAUAAAUAGAUAUAAAAUAAAAUAAAAUAAAAUAAGUGAAUUAAAUGAAGUAAAAUCGUAGUCAAGUAAUUAAUGUAAUGUCAUGUAAUUAAGACAAAAACCUAAAAAUAAAUAGAAAUUAAAUAAAAUAACAUAGAAUUAAAUGGAAUAAAAUAAAAUAAAAGUGAAAUGAAAUGAAACAUAAUUAAUGGGGUUAUUGACACCAAAGACGUACGUUUUCUUAAACCCGAACGCUCGUUCCCACCGACGUAUUUAUACAUCUUUUACGUUUAGGCAAUCAAAGUGAUGAUGCAAGUGCAUCAUAGAAGAGGUCACGUUUCAUGCAGUUUUAAGCCAUCAAAACGGCCACAAGGUGGCAUUCGAUAAGAGCUCGGCAUGGAUCUUUCCCAUGUAUUAACACACUCGACAGCAAGGAGGAAGUGAGAGAGCGUGGAGGAGUGUAACGUGCAGAAGGUUACGCAUUGCAGGGAAAUUCUAAUGGAUGCACACGCACAGGCGAGCGCGCACGCACACUUGCACACACACACACACACACAGUUUAGUUUCAAAUGUAAAAAUUGUAAAUAGUUCAUGGUGCUAUAUUUGUAAAUAAAUUGUUCUUUUUAAUGUAAAACAACCCUUUUUUUGUGUUGUUUAUGUUGUGGUGCGGCUGUCACAAAAGCAAAAAAUAUUUGUGUCAAAGUGAAAGUUAUGCUUGAAAUGUAUCUUUUCACAAAAAGCUGGUUUUCUCCCUUUUUUAGUCAGGAACCAAUAUUUUCCUGAAACUUACCUAUGUUCUACUGCUGAUUACUAAAGAACGAAAAAAGGUAGAAACAAACUUUUUUUUCUGAUGAAAGACAAGAGUGUAAUGUUUCUUUUGGUAGGUUCCAUGUUUAUAUAACCAUACAACACAAUAUUCUGUGUGCCUUGGAAGAUCAGUCAAAAUCGUCUUUUGAAAAAUGGCUGGGAUUGAAUGAGUUAAUAAAUAAGAAAUUAUAAUAAAAUGAUAUAUAAUAAAAAAAUAUAUCAUAUGAAAUACUAAUGAAUUUUGGAUAAUUGUAUGCUUCCAACUUUUAUAUAUUGGAUGACAAACUAGAGAGCCCAGACCUCAACCCAAUCAAACACCUUUGGGACGAACUAGAACUGUGAUGCGUGCCACAGACGCAGAAAAAACAACUUUAUUUAAUAUUUAGUUUUAAAAAAAUGUUUACUAGAUAUUUUUAAUAUGAUUUUUUUGUCUAGUAUCCGGUUCCACGCUGUUCCAUGAUGUUACUUUUAGCACUAAAAGCUUCCAUGCCGUAUGAGCUACUGUAAAUUCCGGUGUAGAAGCUGCUACUUUUUUCUUAAACUUUGAACCCUGCGGCUCAUACGGCAGCGCGGCUAAUUUAUGGCUAAACUAAUCUCGUGACAUCUCCUUUACUUCAGCACUACUACUAAUUGUUUAAAUACGGGGCCGCUGGCGAGUCAGUGAGGGAACGGUAGCGCCUGCUUUGGCAGGAGCCAAUCCCGAGCCAUCAGCGCACUCACAACAAGCUUAAGGAGGUGAUUAUAUAUAACAGUGUAACAUACAGUCUGACUCACGGUGUCAUCUUCAAAGAACACUUUACUAACAGCACCUGACAAAUAUACAAACAUGCCCCAAUAUGUGCCAAUAUGUCCCAAUAAAAUGACAAAACUCCAGCAUUUUUACGUUUUCCUAUAAGCGCACCGUCGUAGCAGAAAGAAGGAAGGAGACACGGCGUCAAGUUGUUCAUUGCUCUGUGUGAGUUAUAUGAAUAAGCAAGUUUGAUGAUUACGUUGUGUAUUGAGUGUUUAAUCUUGAAGGUUUCGUUUAUAUUGGUGUUCCAAAUCCCUGCACUGUGAAAACCUGUCAAUGUGCGUGCAUGUCAGGGUGAGAGAGUGGAGAUUCCCCUGAAAAUGAGGCUUUAUCGCUGCUUGGAUGUAAUUUAGUACUUUGGACGCUGCUUUAUCAUGUUUGUUCUACUUUCCCUUUCCAUUUGGUAUCAAAUGAAUGUGCAGAUGUACAAAAGUGAAGCUCAAGUUCAGCCCAUUCAGAGGGAAGGAACCGAACAUCCGUCUGAAAUAAAAGAUGAGUAGGACGGAUACUUAGAUACUUCAUUCAUCUCCAUAGAAAUUCACAUCUUAUCUAUUGAUCAGUGCUCAUGUAAAACUUUUAUCAAAAUAUGACCAUGGACAAUACACAUUUUUGAACCAGAAUUACUUACUAUAAAAUCAAUGAACCAAUUAAUCAUGUGUAAUAUUUCAAUUUAAUGAAAUGUAAAAAUAUUUUUUGUUUUUCAAGUGUGCAGCAGUAAGGGGUACAUGGCUUCAAGUCAGAAGUCUGAAGGGGUAUACGACUGUAAGAACGCAUUCAUUGGGGCGCUGCAAUGACGUCAGCCUCUCUCUGGGCUUUGGGCUCCAGGUCCUUUGGCUCCCUCCAGUGGACAAAGGCGGCAUUGCAGCGCUAUCCACCAUUUUCUAUGCUUUGUAUGCUCCUGAGAUUAAAUGAUUUUCUCAAACAAAAUGCAUUAUGGGAAAUUACAUUUUUUAAAUGUAAUUUUAAACUCGUAUUGGUACAUGUUUCUAUAUUUCUGAGGUAUAACGCUUGAAUGUUAAGUUGCUGUGCAAUGAGUUUAAUGUUUUUAAGGUGAAACCGUGAGUCAGGCUGUUAUAUUGAAUAACGACCUCCUGCAAUGUCCGAUGGGUUGACAAGCUCGUCGUGAGUUUGUUCAUAGCUCAUGAUUGGCUCCUGUCAAAUAAAGAGCCGACCGGUCCUCACGGACUUGUACGUGCCACAAUAUGCCAUUUUAUGACGCGGACACAUGCGGCUUACACACUGGUGCGGGGUAUAUAUGUGCAAAUCUGUUUUUUCCUCUACUUUUAGUGGGUGUGGCUUAUGCACCGGAAUUUACGGUAGAUAUUUUUAAUAGGAUUUUUUUUUUCUCGUAGCCGGUUCCACAAAUUUGCAUCAUGUUAAUUUUAGCACAAAACUAAACGCUUCCUGGCUGUAUGAGGUUUUAUAAAUGACAGCCAUUUAUGAUAUAUAGUCAACAAGAUAAAUGCAACACUUUUGUUUUGCUCCCAUUUUUCACUAGUUGAAGUGAAUGAUCUAAACCAGUGGUCCCCAACCCCCGGGCCCGUGGGUCAUUUGGUACCGGGCUGCACAGAAAGAAAAAAUAAUUUCCAUUAUUUCAUUUUUUUAAUGUUUUAUUUUGAAAAGUGGCCGGAUUCUCUCUGUUACAUCCGUCUCACUUGACGCAUGUCCAUUGUGUGUGUGCUAACUUGCUGCACAGAUAGACUACUACUGUAUUUUUACCAUUUUUCUUUCACCUCAUAUGUGGUGUCAAAUGCUGAUACUAUGUGGGAAUGCAUAAAGGUACGUUUGGAUGGCUUACUGAGUGCUAAUGUGCACAUUUGUCUCAAGUGAAUUCAUGCUAGCACACUGCCUUUUACCACACACGUCAAACAGCCAUGUCACAUGCCAUGUCACAUGCACUCACCCGUCAUAUCUUCUCCAAUAGCAUAAAAGGACUUCCCACUGGCCCCUGCAGAAUAAAGGCAAGGAUGAAAUGUGUGCAACAGACAGACAACGCACGUGUGACCUCUGUGAGAAAACCAACAGAUGAGCCUUGUUUCCUACCCAGUAAGACGAUAGCGCCGAUCCGUCCGAACUCCGGCACCUCCAGAGGGUUCCCGUGCAUCACGGAGAUGUCAGCACUAUGGAGAAAGCCGAGUUCUGGUCCUGCAGAGACGCAUUAUACUUGAGACCCUUCAGCUGCACCGUCUCCAUGAAAUAAUGCUGCUCCUGCACCAGGAAUCUCACCAAUAAGCAGUCCCACAAAGACGCCAGCUAUGAGGAAGAAGAGGAGGAAGACUACGAGGGUGCACCUGUGGCAGGUGGAGCUGGAGGGAGCAGCAGCAGAGGGUCCUGGAGAAGACCACGGGCCUCCCCCAUCCUUCCUCACAUCCAUUGUGGACUUUGACAGC